UGUUCAUGGUUCCAUAUUUCAUCUCUC
This 27-nucleotide small RNA is filed under the name Bombyx mori (domestic silkworm). Its description in RNAcentral is "ovarian small RNA-36084". The record is from RNAcentral. Lineage: Eukaryota; Metazoa; Arthropoda; Insecta; Lepidoptera; Bombycidae.